RNAcentral lists this ribosomal RNA (462 nucleotides) under uncultured bacterium. RNAcentral describes it as "SSU rRNA". It matches the Rfam family "Bacterial small subunit ribosomal RNA", at positions 26 to 518 of the family's 1533-position model. The record is from RNAcentral.
AGAAUCAACGCUGGCGGCGUGCCUAACACAUGCAAGUCGAACGAGAAAGUGGGAGCAAUCCCAUGAGUAAAGUGGCGCACGGGUGAGUAACACGUGACUAACCUACCCUUGAGUGGGGGAUAACCUAGGGAAACCUGGGCUAAUACCGCAUAAUACCUACGGGUCAAAGGAGCAAUUCGCUUUAGGAGGGGGUCGCGGCAGAUUAGUUAGUUGGCGGGGUAAUGGCCCACCAAGACAGUGAUCUGUAUCCGGCCUGAAAGGGCGCACGGACACACUGGAACUGGAACACGGUCCAGACUCCUACGGGAGGCAGCAGUGGGGAAUUUUGCGCAAUGGGGGAAACCCUGACGCAGCAACGCCGCGUGGAGGAUGAAGCCCCUUGGGGCGUAAACUCCUUUCGAUCGGGAAGAUAAUGACGGUACCGGAAGAAGAAGCCCCGGCUAACUUCGUGCCAGCAGCCGC